Long non-coding RNA from Eurytemora carolleeae, 434 nucleotides. RefSeq lists it as uncharacterized. The record is from RefSeq and is a predicted model, not a curated record. NCBI's taxonomy places the organism in Eukaryota, Metazoa, Arthropoda, Copepoda, Calanoida, Temoridae. The transcript has 2 exons.
UAAUUUGUAAAAAUCCACUAAAACAGAAAUCUAAAAUGGGAGUGUUUUCAAAUGUUCUUCAUUUUUUGGUUGUAUUAGCCAGGCCUAGGAUUCCGAAAGCAUUCAAACCCAGGAAACACAGGAAUGAUAAAACAAUUUGGAGGAGUAAUUUGAACGCUAGAAACCAGGAUGCUGGGAUACGAAGCAGGAGUAACAAAUUCUUCUCAUGUGUCCGGACUAAUCAGUGAUCAUUGAAUCCACCAGCAUUCCAGACAUCAAAUAUUUAAACUUUAAUCGGAUAAAAUAUAACAAAGAUAUAUAGAUAUUUAAUUUAUUUAUAUCAAUAUUCAUAUUUAUCAAUGUCUCUUACAAUUGCUAACUAUUACAUAUCAUGUCAUGUGAGAUGAGAUAAUCGUAUGAAAUAAAAUUACCAAUAAAUCAUUAUUGAAUGCGAA